This 215-nucleotide long non-coding RNA is filed under the name Nicotiana benthamiana. Its description in RNAcentral is "long non-coding RNA (NBEN_LNC024537)". Lineage: Eukaryota; Viridiplantae; Streptophyta; Magnoliopsida; Solanales; Solanaceae. The record is from RNAcentral.
CAGAACUCUACCGGGAUCUCGUCAGGCCCGGUCGCUCGACCCCUACUCAUCCUACGCAAAGCCCCCAUGACCUCCUCCCCCCUAAUGUGCCUGCAGUACCCAAGGUCUCUAUGUUGCUCUGAAUGCCCCAACUACCUAGCUCUAUGUUACGAUCCCCCACGUCGUUAAGUAAGUCCCGAAAGUGUGCCUGCCACCUCUGCUUGACUUGAGACUCC